AGUGAACGCUGGCGGAAGGCCUAACACAUGCAAGUCGAACGGCAGCACAGUAUGAGCUUGCUCUUACGGGUGGCGAGUGGCGGACGGGUGAGGAAUACAUCGGAAUCUACUUUUUCGUGGGGGAUAACGUAGGGAAACUUACGCUAAUACCGCAUACGACCUACGGGUGAAAGCAGGGGAUCUUCGGACCUUGCGCGAUUGAAUGAGCCGAUGUCGGAUUAGCUAGUUGGCGGGGUAAAGGCCCACCAAGGCGACGAUCCGUAGCUGGUCUGAGAGGAUGAUCAGCCACACUGGAACUGAGACACGGUCCAGACUCCUACGGGAGGCAGCAGUGGGGAAUAUUGGACAAUGGGCGCAAGCCUGAUCCAGCCAUACCGCGUGGGUGAAGAAGGCCUUCGGGUUGUAAAGCCCUUUUGUUGGGAAAGAAAAGCAGCAGGUUAAUACCCCGCUGUUCUGACGGUACCCAAAGAAUAAGCACCGGCUAACUUCGUG
Molecule: ribosomal RNA, 492 nt
Filed under: uncultured bacterium
Lineage: Bacteria
Description: partial 16S ribosomal RNA
Rfam family: Bacterial small subunit ribosomal RNA
Source: RNAcentral